RNAcentral lists this ribosomal RNA (493 nucleotides) under uncultured bacterium. RNAcentral's name for it is "partial 16S ribosomal RNA". It matches the Rfam family "Bacterial small subunit ribosomal RNA", at positions 29 to 507 of the family's 1533-position model. The record is from RNAcentral.
ACGAACGCUGGCGGCGCGCUUAACACAUGCAAGUCGAACGGAAAGGCCUGCUUUCCCUUGUGGAUUGCGGGUACUCGAGUGGCGAACGGGUGAGUAACACGUGAGUGAUCUGCCCCCAACUUGGGUAUAAGCCUGGGAAACUGGGUCUAAUUCCCGAUAGGACUGCAGGGUGGUGCCUGUGGUGGAAAACGAUUUUCUAGUGGUUGGGGAUGAGCUCGCGGCCUAUCAGCUUGUCGGUGGGGUAAUGGCCUACCAAGGCGGCGACGGGUAGCCGGCCUGAGAGGGUGGACGGCCACAUUGGGACUGAGAUACGGCCCAGACUCCUACGGGAGGCAGCAGUGGGGAAUAUUGCACAAUGGGCGGAAGCCUGAUGCAGCGACGCCGCGUGGGGGAUGACGGCCUUCGGGUUGUAAACUCCUUUCGACCGCGAGGAAGCCACCUGGUUGGAAGGGUGGUGACGGUAGUGGUAGAAGAAGCACCGGCUAACUACGUG